UGUUAAAAAUUCCAUCAAUUUGUACAGUUAAAAAUUGGCGUGGCUAACAAAAUAAUCAGACAAUAACACAUGCCGUGUCAUGUGUACCUCAUAUUGAUGUACAAAGAUCAAUUUUUAACUGUAGAAAUAGAAGAAAAUUUUAAAA
Molecule: non-coding RNA, 145 nt
Organism: Gossypium raimondii (Peruvian cotton)
Lineage: Eukaryota; Viridiplantae; Streptophyta; Magnoliopsida; Malvales; Malvaceae
Source: Rfam